AGAAAUAAUAUUUUUAAUGAUCUUUGGCAUGUAAUAACAGUCUUUCAAUUCUAAAAUUUUGCUCGAUGGCAAAUCAAGCAUACAGAUUUCCACAGCCUCUGUGCUAAUGGGCUCUCCACUUGUACCAUAAAGCUCAAGGUUACCUCUUUUCAAAUCUUUGAUAUUCUGUAGUUGUUGUAAUGAAUUACAAAUAUACGAUCCACAGGCAGUAUCUAAUACCCAAGUAUC
Molecule: long non-coding RNA, 228 nt
Filed under: Elaeis guineensis (African oil palm)
Lineage: Eukaryota; Viridiplantae; Streptophyta; Magnoliopsida; Arecales; Arecaceae
Description: long non-coding RNA (EGUI_LNC054965)
Source: RNAcentral